UACGAACCGUGCGACCGUUAUUCGGAAUCACUGGGCUUAAAGCGCGUGUAGGCGGGACGGCACGUCUGUCGCUGAAAUCCCCCGGCUUAACCGGGGAACUGGCGUAGAUACGACCGUCCUGGAGGGGCGUAGGGGGACCUGGAACUUCCGGUGGAGCGGUGAAAUGCGUUGAGAUCGGAAGGAACGCCCGUGGCGAAAGCGAGGUCCUGGACGCCUACUGACGCUGAGACGCGAAAGCCAGGGGAGCGAACGGG
This 254-nucleotide ribosomal RNA is filed under the name uncultured bacterium. RNAcentral describes it as "partial 16S ribosomal RNA". It matches the Rfam family "Bacterial small subunit ribosomal RNA", at positions 524 to 776 of the family's 1533-position model. The record is from RNAcentral.